AGAGUUUGAUCCUGGCUCAGAAUCAACGCUGGCGGCGUGCCUAACACAUGCAAGUCGAACGAGAAAGGGGAGCAAUCCCUGAGUAAAGUGCCGCACGGGUGAGUAACACGUGACUAACCUACCCUGGAGUGGGGGAUAACUGAGGGAAACCUUAGCUAAUACCGCAUAAUACCCACGGGUCAAAGGAGCAAUUCGCUCUGGGAGGGGGUCGCGGCCGAUUAGUUAGUUGGCGGGGUAACGGCCCACCAAGACGAUGAUCGGUAUCCGGCCUGAGAGGGCGCACGGACACACUGGAACUGAAACACGGUCCAGACUCCUACGGGAGGCAGCAGUGGGGAAUUUUGCGCAAUGGGGGAAACCCUGACGCAGCAACGCCGCGUGGAGGAUGAAGUCCUUCGGGACGUAAACUCCUUUCGAUCGGGACGAUUAUGACGGUACCGGAAGAAGAAGCCCCGGCUAACUUCGUGCCAGCAGCCGCGGUAAUACGAGGGGGGCGAGCGUUGUUCGGAAUUAUUGGGCGUAAAGGGUGCGUAGGCGGUUUGGUAAGUCUUGUGUGAAAUCUACAGGCUCAACCUGUAGUCUGCACGAGAAACUGCCGGGCUUGAGUAUGGGAGAGGUGAGUGGAAUUCCUGGUGUAGCGGUGAAAUGCGUAGAUAUCAGGAGGAACACCUGUGGCGAAAGCGGCUCACUGGACCAUAACUGACGCUGAUGCACGAGAGCUAGGGGAGCAAACAGGAUUAGAUACCCUGGUAGUCCUAGCCCUAAACGAUGACUGCUUGGUGUGACGGGUACCCAAUCCCGCCGUGCCGUAGCUAACGCGUUAAGCAGUCCGCCUGGGGAGUACGGUCGCAAGGCUGAAACUCAAAGGAAUUGACGGGGGCCCGCACAAGCGGUGGAGCAUGUGGUUUAAUUCGACGCAACGCGAAGAACCUUACCUGGGCUCGAAAUGUUGUGACCGGGGUAGAAAUAUCCCUUCCCCGCAAGGGGCCGCAUAU
This 995-nucleotide ribosomal RNA is filed under the name uncultured bacterium. RNAcentral's name for it is "bacterial SSU rRNA". It matches the Rfam family "Bacterial small subunit ribosomal RNA", at positions 8 to 1033 of the family's 1533-position model. The record is from RNAcentral.